RNAcentral lists this unclassified non-coding RNA (1052 nucleotides) under Phialemonium obovatum. RNAcentral's name for it is "sequence contains ITS1, 5.8S rRNA gene, ITS2 and 28S rRNA gene". The stretch from base 473 to 1052 matches the Rfam family "Eukaryotic large subunit ribosomal RNA", at positions 1 to 592 of the family's 3401-position model. The record is from RNAcentral. Lineage: Eukaryota; Fungi; Ascomycota; Sordariomycetes; Cephalothecales; Cephalothecaceae.
AGUUGAAAGACUCCCAAACCAAUGUGAACUUACCCGUGACGUUGCUUCGGCGGGCGGCUCCAGGGGGAGCCGUCGCCCCCCGCGAGGGUGGUGCCCGCCGGAGGACCCCAAACCAUACUUGAAUCAGUGGCCCAUCUGAGACAGCUUCAAUAAUCAAAACUUUCAACAACGGAUCUCUUGGUUCUGGCAUCGAUGAAGAACGCAGCGAAAUGCGAUAAGUAAUGUGAAUUGCAGACUUCAGUGAAUCAUCGAAUCUUUGAACGCACAUUGCGCCCGCCAGCAUUCUGGCGGGCAUGCCUGUCCGAGCGUCAUUUCAACCCUCAAGCCCAGCUUGGUGUUGGGGCACCACGGCCCGGCCGUGGGCCCCGAAAUUUAGUGGCGGGCCCUCUGGGAGUCCGGGCGUAGUAGCGAUAUGUCGCCCGCGGCCCCCCGGAGGCGCUCCUGCCGUUAAACCCCCCAAAUCACAGAAGGUUGACCUCGGAUCAGGUAGGACUACCCGCUGAACUUAAGCAUAUCAAUAAGCGGAGGAAAAGAAACCAACAGGGAUUGCCCUAGUAACGGCGAGUGAAGCGGCAACAGCUCGAAUUUGAAAUCUGGCCUCGGCCCGAGUUGUAAUCUGUAGAGGACGCUUUUGGCGCGGUGCCUUCCGAGUUCCCUGGAACGGGACGCCACAGAGGGUGAGAGCCCCGUAAGGUCGGACACUAAGCCUCUGUAAAGCUCCUUCGACGAGUCGAGUAGCUUGGGAAUGCUGCUCUAAGCGGGAGGUAAACUUCUUCUAAAGCUAAAUACUGGCCAGAGACCGAUAGCGCACAAGUAGAGUGAUCGAAAGAUGAAAAGCACUUUGAAAAGAGGGUUAAAUAGUACGUGAAAUUGUUGAAAGGGAAGCGCUCAUGACCAGACUUGCGCCUGGCGGAUCAUCCGGUGGUCUCCACCGGUGCACUCCGCCUGGCGCAGGCCAGCGUCGGCUGUUGCGGGGGGACAAAAGCUCUGGGAACGUAGCUCUCUCCGGGGAGUGUUAUAGCCCUCUGCAGAAUACCCCCGCGGCGGCCGAG